This 554-nucleotide ribosomal RNA is filed under the name Colletotrichum tropicale. RNAcentral's name for it is "eukaryotic LSU rRNA". The stretch from base 197 to 350 matches the Rfam family "5.8S ribosomal RNA". The record is from RNAcentral. Lineage: Eukaryota; Fungi; Ascomycota; Sordariomycetes; Glomerellales; Glomerellaceae.
UGGUGACCAGCGGAGGGAUCAUUACUGAGUUUACGCUCUACAACCCUUUGUGAACAUACCUAUAACUGUUGCUUCGGCGGGUAGGGUCUCCGUGACCCUCCCGGCCUCCCGCCCCCGGGCGGGUCGGCGCCCGCCGGAGGAUAACCAAACUCUGAUUUAACGACGUUUCUUCUGAGUGGUACAAGCAAAUAAUCAAAACUUUUAACAACGGAUCUCUUGGUUCUGGCAUCGAUGAAGAACGCAGCGAAAUGCGAUAAGUAAUGUGAAUUGCAGAAUUCAGUGAAUCAUCGAAUCUUUGAACGCACAUUGCGCCCGCCAGCAUUCUGGCGGGCAUGCCUGUUCGAGCGUCAUUUCAACCCUCAAGCUCUGCUUGGUGUUGGGGCCCUACAGCUGAUGUAGGCCCUCAAAGGUAGUGGCGGACCCUCCCGGAGCCUCCUUUGCGUAGUAACUUUACGUCUCGCACUGGGAUCCGGAGGGACUCUUGCCGUAAAACCCCCAAUUUUCCAAAGGUUGACCUCGGAUCAGGUAGGAAUACCCGCUGAACUUAAGCAUAU